UCACCAGGUAGGCCGAAUAGUCUUAUAUAGCCAUUUGUUGUCCAGGGCAAUUUUGCCUAUUAAGUCUGUUUCCUCCCAGUUAACCUUCCUUCCAUGAGCCCCUGAAGCUUGAUGUCUGAACUCAGGGAUGGUUUGGAAACCCCUACUUAGGCAGUCUUGGGUCUUCUCAAAUACUGCAGUCUAAUAGCAUGUCCUGCCUGCUCUAAAACUGACUCCUGCUCCUUCCAUCUGUUUUUCCCAGUUUACAGAUCUGGCUUGUGUAUUCACUCUCUACAUGUCUAUGUAAGUAACCACAUUUGCAUUGGCUGAGAAGUCGUCACUUGCCAAAUAGUCUUUAUUGAGUUCAAGAGCCAACAUGCUCUAUGGUCCUUCUAAUCCAGCUGUUCUCAACCUUGGCUGCACAUGGAAUCACUGAGGGAGGCCUUGGUCUGCAGUAAAGCCUACACACCUCCCCAGGACUAAGUACGGAUUUCUGAGUAUAACCAUGGAAGAAGACCCUCGAAAGGGAACUGCUGAGUUAAAGGAAAUUGCCAUUUAUACUUUGGCUAAAUGUUGCCACACUUUCAUUCCUGAAGUUGUGCCAAUUUAUGUUGGUAGCAACAAUGUAUUAGAGCACUUUCCCCAUCAUCAUAAAUACAGUGACUUGGAAGCUAAGGCCCAGAGAGGAGAAGAAACUUGAUCAAAGUCAAUCAGACAAUGCAGAAUCGAGAAAAGUACCUGGACCUCUAUGCCCAUGCUUCUAGCAGCCAGCCUCCUAAAAUACCUCUAGUUGAAGCCAAAGUUAGAAUCCUUCUAUGAAACUACAGGAUUAAAAUGGAAUGGUUACAUGACCCAGGCUUGACCAAUCAGAUCAUCCAAACCCUUUGCCACAGUGAUUGGUCCAGGGAUACAUGCAUGAGCCAGCUCAGGUAAAUGAGACUCAAUUAUAAGAAUUUUGUUAGCGCAAUUGGGAAAAAGAAGUUUUCUUUCCAUGAGAACUAUCAGCUAUAAGAAUGUUGGAUGCUUCCAUCUGCUGGAGUCCAUGAAGA
Molecule: non-coding RNA, 1028 nt
Filed under: Pan troglodytes (chimpanzee)
Lineage: Eukaryota; Metazoa; Chordata; Mammalia; Primates; Hominidae
Source: RNAcentral